RNAcentral lists this ribosomal RNA (1445 nucleotides) under uncultured organism. Its description in RNAcentral is "SSU rRNA". It matches the Rfam family "Bacterial small subunit ribosomal RNA". The record is from RNAcentral.
AUCUACAGGCUUAACACAUGCAAGUCGAGGGGCAGCAUUUUAGUUUGCUUGCAAACUGAAGAUGGCGACCGGCGCACGGGUGAGUAACACGUAUCCAACCUACCGAUAACUCCGGAAUAGCCUUUCGAAAGAAAGAUUAAUACCGGAUAGCAUACGAAUAUCGCAUGAUAUUUUUAUUAAAGAAUUUCGGUUAUCGAUGGGGAUGCGUUCCAUUAGUUUGUUGGCGGGGUAACGGCCCACCAAGACUACGAUGGAUAGGGGUUCUGAGAGGAAGGUCCCCCACAUUGGAACUGAGACACGGUCCAAACUCCUACGGGAGGCAGCAGUGAGGAAUAUUGGUCAAUGGGCGAGAGCCUGAACCAGCCAAGUAGCGUGAAGGAUGAAGGCUCUAUGGGUCGUAAACUUCUUUUAUAUGGGAAUAAAGUUUUCCACGUGUGGAAUUUUGUAUGUACCAUAUGAAUAAGGAUCGGCUAACUCCGUGCCAGCAGCCGCGGUAAUACGGAGGAUCCGAGCGUUAUCCGGAUUUAUUGGGUUUAAAGGGAGCGUAGGUGGAUUGUUAAGUCAGUUGUGAAAGUUUGCGGCUCAACCGUAAAAUUGCAGUUGAAACUGGCAGUCUUGAGUACAGUAGAGGUGGGCGGAAUUCGUGGUGUAGCGGUGAAAUGCUUAGAUAUCACGAAGAACUCCGAUUGCGAAGGCAGCUCACUAGACUGUCACUGACACUGAUGCUCGAAAGUGUGGGUAUCAAACAGGAUUAGAUACCCUGGUAGUCCACACAGUAAACGAUGAAUACUCGCUGUUUGCGAUACAGUGUAAGCGGCACAGCGAAAGCGUUAAGUGGUCCACCUGGGGAGUACGCCGGCAACGGUGAAACUCAAAGGAAUUGACGGGGGCCCGCACAAGCGGAGGAACAUGUGGUUUAAUUCGAUGAUACGCGAGGAACCUUACCCGGGCUUAAAUUGCAACAGAAUAUAUUGGAAACAGUAUAGCCGUAAGGCUGUUGUGAAGGUGCUGCAUGGUUGUCGUCAGCUCGUGCCGUGAGGUGUCGGCUUAAGUGCCAUAACGAGCGCAACCCUUAUCUUUAGUUACUAACAGGUUAUGCUGAGGACUCUGGUGGGACUGCCGUCGUAAGAUGUGAGGAAGGUGGGGAUGACGUCAAAUCAGCACGGCCCUUACGUCCGGGGCUACACACGUGUUACAAUGGGGGGUACAGAAGGCGGCUACCUGGUGACAGGAUGCUAAUCCCAAAAACCUCUCUCAGUUCGGAUCGAAGUCCGCAACCCGACUUCGUGAAGCUGGAUUCGCUAGUAAUCGCGCAUCAGCCAUGGCGCGGUGAAUACGUUCCCGGGCCUUGUACACACCGCCCGUCAAGCCAUGAAAGCCGGGGGUACCUGAAGUACGUAACCGCAAGGAGCGUCCUAGGGUAAAACUGGUAAUUGGGGCUAAGU